This is a non-coding RNA of Beta vulgaris subsp. vulgaris (sugar beet), 119 nucleotides long. The record is from Rfam. NCBI's taxonomy places the organism in Eukaryota, Viridiplantae, Streptophyta, Magnoliopsida, Caryophyllales, Amaranthaceae.
GGAUGCGAUCAUACCAGCACUAAUGCAAUGGAUCCCAUCGUAAUUCUGCAAUUAAGCAUGCAUGGUCGAGAAUUGGACUAGGAUGGAUGAAAUCCUAGGCAGUACUCGUGUUGCACCCC